AAUCUUCCGCCAUGGACGAAUGUCUGACUGAGCAACGCCGCGUGUGUGAUGAAGGUUUUCGGACCGUAUAACUCUGUUGUUAGGGAAGAACGAGUAUCUGAGUCACUGCUGCUACCUUGACGUUACCUGCCUAGAAACCCACGACUAACUACGUUCCAGCAGCCGCGGUAAUACGUAGGUGGCAAGCGUUGUCCGGAUUUAUUGGGCGUAAAGCGCGCGCAGGCGGUCUUUUAAGUCUGAUGUGAAAUCUUACAGCUUAACUGUAAGCGGUCAUUGGAAACUGGGAGACUUGAGUGCAGAAGAGGGGAGUGGAAUUCCAUGUGUAGCGGUGAAAUGCGUAGAGAUAUGGAGGAACACCAGUGGCGAAGGCGACUCUCUGGUCUGUAACUGACGCUGAGGCGCGAAAGCGUGGGGAUCAAACA
Molecule: ribosomal RNA, 422 nt
Filed under: uncultured bacterium
Lineage: Bacteria
Description: partial 16S ribosomal RNA
Rfam family: Bacterial small subunit ribosomal RNA
Source: RNAcentral